Pelobates cultripes (western spadefoot toad) is the source of this 246-nucleotide non-coding RNA. The record is from the annotation of a GenBank genome assembly. Lineage: Eukaryota; Metazoa; Chordata; Amphibia; Anura; Pelobatidae.
CCAACUCACAUACUCCCUCAGGACAAGCUCCAAAUUUUUAGAGACAGGUUUUAAAUUGCUGACUAGUUGGUACUACACCCCUGCUAAAUUGCAUAGCUGGAACCCAUCCAUCCCAGAUGUUUGCUGGAGAUCAGGACAGAGAGACACUCUAACAAAUCUGGUGGCAAUGUCCACUGAUCAAGCAAUUCUAGAAAGAGAUAAUUCCACAAAUCCAUACAAUAAGUAGCCUUCCCAUCUUUCUUUACC